AAAAAGUUUCUUAUUGAUAAUUAUUGAUCAAUAACAUAUUUAUAUAUAAAAUAACUCUCCCAAUGAGAAUUGUUGAUGAUUGAUGGAAAGAAAUUAACCCCACCUCAAAUAUAAAGGCUUGCUUUUGCUAUUUUCGUAUAACCUCAACCCUUUUAUUUAGAUUUUGCUCAAAGUGUAUGACUUAAAUUAUUAUUAUUGGAUAUGAUCACUUUAUUCAGCAGAUGAAAAAUAAAGUACAAUUAUGAAAGGGCUUGAGAGUGGAGUUACUUUUUUAUGGGAAGCCCAUAUCGCAAAACAAUAUUAAUUAUUUAUGGAAAUAGCUACCAUCGGAAAGAGGAUUAUAAAGGUAAACACGGUAUUAAUCAACAGAAUCAAGACAAUACCAAUGAAAGAAUCCCCCAUGAAGUAAUACAUAUUGAAUCUUUAUCGUUGGACAGUGAGAAGGACAAGCACAUGAGAAAAUGUGAAUUGAUUGAAAGCGAACAGAGUUCAUCUCCACCAUGAAAGAAGAUUAGAGUUGUUUGGACAUAUCCCGUUCAUGAAAAAUUUGUGAAAGUCGUUUCAAAACAUUGCAUGAAGAAAGCGUAUUCAAGGAAAAUUCUUGACCUCAUGGAUACUCCUUAUAUGACUAGAACACAUGUUGCAAGUCAUUUGCAGCAUAUAUUCACUCAAAAGAGUUUGAAUUUGAGACAGCGGAGAUGGAUGGAGUUGAUGUGAUCAUUCAUUACAAUCCGAGCAAGGCUAAUAUUGUGGCAGACGUUUUGAGUAGAAAAGAGGUAUGUAUGGGUAAUUUAUCUUACUUAAGUGUAGCAAAGUGACCCUUGGUCAAGGAAAUAUAGGAUUUUGAAUCUAAGUUCAUCCAUUUGGGCACCUCCGAAAGACGUGGGGUGUUAGCUAGUACUAAAGCCAAGCACAUGUUCAUGGAGGAUAUCAACGCCAAAUGAUUCAAAGAUGGGAAUUUAUGAGAACUUAGAACAAAGAUUGCAAUGGGUAAGUCCCAAGAGACUACUCUUGAGGCGAAUGGGGUACUCAAAAAUAAGGGUAGGAUUUGUAUUCCUCGAGUAGAUGACUUGAUAUAAAAAUUAUUGGUGAAAUCUCAUGGUUUGUAGUAUUCCAUUCAUCCGGGUGUGACCAAGAUUUAUAGGAUCUGAAGCAAAUUUAUUGGUGGUCGGAAAUGAAGAAAUGCAUCACAGAGUUUGUGGUGAACUACCAGAAUUGUCAACAAGUGAAUUAUGAACAUCGAACGUGUAGAGAAAUAUGGUAGCGAUCGGGUGAAGUAAAUAUGAAUUUGAUUACAUAAUCGGUUAGAUAACUCUUUAAGAAAUCUUUACGACUUUAAGAAAUUGAAUUUGUAUAAGUAGAUCUCCAGGAAUCGAUCUUGGCGUUAAGGGCAUUUUUCUGAGUGUAUGGGGUUAAGGUUAUGCUGUAAAAGAUGGGAAUUGAAAUUCCACUAGGUAUCUCACAUCCCCAAAAUCUGCAGUUAUAGCGUACGAAUCGAGAUUUAAAAUCGUAGAUAUUUGGGAUUUUUCAAUGAACCUCACAUGUCCAAAAGGUGCCGCUGCAGUGGGAAUAGUGUUGCUGCAACGACGCUGCUACAACAGAAUGGGUCGUUGUAGCAGGACAGUCCUGAAUAAAUUUGUAAAUAAAGCCCCUAAACAGCCUUAUAUAGCAGUUUUCGACUCUAUAAAAUAACCCCUGGGUUAUUCCAACUCGUUUUUGACUAUUCUUGAAGCUAAAGGUAAUCUUUUCAUUCCUAAAAUUCACUUUCCAAUCUGUAGAACAUAAUCAAAUGGGUCAACAUUGAUGGCGAAAGGUUUCUUAAUAGAUUUUAUGGUGUAUUAACCCUAAUUUGGAUAGCAGGGAUCAUGAGUUUGAUCUAGGGUUCCUAGAAUUUAAGUAUCAUGGUAAUUAGCGAUUGAUUGUUGAUUCUAGUGUUAUUGUGAUUGUUUGUAGAUCAAGAACAAGCAGAACGAAUCUGGAAGGUGAAUGAUCAAGUUUUAUAGGGUUUCAAACAUGUUUCAAGGUAGUUAUUGUGAUUUCAUGAUAGUGUGAUGCAUGCAUGAUGUUUCUUGAUUAUGAUACUUGUAUGUAUAUGAAUGUCACAAUAUUGAUCGUGUUAUGGUAACUGAGAUAGAUGAAUAAUAUAACCAUGAAAUCAUGAUGUAAAUGUGUGAUACUUAUGAUGUACUUGUGAUUGUGAUUGGGUGUGUGAAUGGGGAUAGGAUUGUCACAUUUCGACAAGCUAACUUGGAUUGAAUUGUCAUGUUCCAGUAUAAAUGUUGGAUCGGAUUGCCACGUUAUGACAAGAUAACUGGGAUCCGGUACCACUCCAGGGCACUAACAGUUUGAGUUUGGGUUCUGUUACAACACAAAUGAUGUGUUAAGCAUGUGAAAUAUGUCGUCAACUUAUCAUGUUGAUAAUGUUUUUUAUGUUGAUAUAUAUGCAUCUGAUUAUAAUGUUUGUUCGAAUUUUUUAUAUUGCACUACUGGGAUAGCUGCGUGAUCCUACAAGUACAUGGUGUUUGUGUACAAAUUCUGCACUUCCUCUCAUUUUUGUUGAGUACAUGGCAUCUUCAAGAAUCUACUGACAGGCCUCACUUAGGAUAUUAGAUAUUAUUGCAUCGACUUCAAGGGUGAGCUGCAUCAUCCGGGCUUCCAUGGAGUUCUGUUUCGUCCAUGUCCACCAUUUCUAGACUUGGACCUUUAUGUUUAGUUAGUUGAAUAGUUCAUUAUCAAUUCCUAGUUUAGACUUGGUUAUCAUUAGUAUUUUUAUUAUAUUGACAUUCAGAUCUUAGGUUUAUAUUCAACAAAUUUUAGUUGUUAGAUCUUUUGUUUAGUAAUGAACUUCGCUUUUUGUCA
This is a long non-coding RNA of Solanum pennellii, 2859 nucleotides long. RefSeq lists it as uncharacterized. The transcript is spliced from 3 exons. The record is from RefSeq and is a predicted model, not a curated record. Lineage: Eukaryota; Viridiplantae; Streptophyta; Magnoliopsida; Solanales; Solanaceae.